Molecule: ribosomal RNA, 253 nt
Filed under: uncultured bacterium
Lineage: Bacteria
Also listed under: 1 other name
Description: partial 16S ribosomal RNA
Rfam family: Bacterial small subunit ribosomal RNA
Source: RNAcentral
UACGGAGGGGGCUAGCGUUGUUCGGAAUUACUGGGCGUAAAGCGCACGUAGGCGGCGAUUUAAGUCAGAGGUGAAAGCCUGGAGCUCAACUCCAGAACUGCCUUUGAGACUGGAUUGCUUGAAUCACGGAGAGGUGGGUGGAAUUCCGAGUGUAGAGGUGAAAUUCGUAGAUAUUCGGAAGAACACCAGUGGCGAAGGCGGCCCACUGGACGUGUAUUGACGCUGAGGUGCGAAAGCGUGGGGAGCAAACAGG